CCUAAUUAUUUAGAUAUCACUAGACAUAGUUAAAGAGUACUCAGUACUCUCUUGUAUCUUUGCCGCCUUGUGUGAUGUUUCUUUUGAGGUGGAAUCGGCACUUUGCAAUCUUCAAGCUCCAUCCUUGGUUGUUGUUAGAAUGACUCUGUGUAUCUUCUUCCUUAGCCUCCGGUGAGUCCAUUCUUUUCAUUUCCUUCUCGCCAUGUUUGUUGUCUCCAGGUGGUGGAUUGAAAUUGAAGCUGACGGUGGUGGUGGGACGCCAAACAACCCCUCUUUUUGAUGAAGCUUUUUGGUAGCUAGGGGAGCUAGCUAGGUAUGUAACUAUUGAUCCCUUUUAUGGUUCUCUAUAUUGUGUGAAUGUAUCUUCUUCCUUCCCCUGCUUUUCUGAUUCAUUGCCUGCUUAUUUUCCGUGUCCUAAUCCUAAGGUUAAGAAUCUGAGCCUUGUCCAUGUUUAUAUGUUUCCUUAUAUUUGCUGGUAGCUCGUAAAAACUGUGAUAUUCCUUUGUGUCUUGUGUGUCUAGAACUUCAUUAGCUAAUGAAUCUGCCACUGUGUUUCCUUCUCUAAAGAUAUGCUUUAUGUUUCCUUGUAUUAGUUGCAUUUGGACCCUUAUGCCUUCUAUUAUCUCUAUAAGUUCCCAUGGCACCUUCUAUUCCCUCUCAAUCAUCCUUUUCAGCGUAAUGGAAUCUGUUUCAAUUAUUACUUCCUAUAGAUUAAUGGACUGACAAAACCCCAAAGCUUCCUUAAUAGCCAUAGAUUCUGCUUCUGUAUUAGUGGCUAUACCUAUUCCUAUGGCAGCAGCAUAUAUCAAAUCUCCAAACUCAUUCCUUACACAGAAAGCAAGUGCACUCUUUCCAGGAUUUCCCCUACACGCCCCAUCAGUAUUACAUUUCAGCCUAUCCGUUGCUGGAAAUUUCCAAGUAACAUAAUAAUAGUGUAAUCUUGGUUUGUAUUCCUUUAAUAAGGUAACCAUGUGAGGCCAAUCCUCCUUUCCUAUCUUCAUCCAAGGGUAUAAGCUUUUGAGUAGUUUCCUAAGCAUGUCUUGUACUUGCCAUAUCAUGUUAUUCAAAGUCACAUUUCCUCCAUGCUUGAUACUAUUUCUCCUUUUCCAUAUAAUCCACAUUAUGAGUGCUGGCAUUGCUUUGUAUACUGACUCCAGCUUUGGUGUUGUGUGAAUAUUCCACCAAGUAUUUAUGAGUUGUUUCAAAUUCAUGUCUUCUAUGUCAAUGCCUGCAAAAAUAGCAAACUGCCUCCAUAGCUUAGUAGCUAUGGGUGCUGUAGAAAUAGAUGAGUCAUGGUUUCUUCUGUCUUUUCGUCACAACACCAACAUCUAGAUACAAUAUUUAUCUUCAUUUUUUUCAAAUUGUCAUCUGUGGCAAUCUUCCUUCUCCAAGCCUUCCAUAAGAAAAAAUUAACUUUGAAUGGAACUCUCUUUGCCCAGAUUUUGUUAUUUUCUUCCUUCUUUUCUCUUCUCUGUCUCAACAGUUCCCAGGCUGAUUUCACAGUGAAGUUGCCUUAGGUAUUCCCCAUCCACCAAGGUAUAUCAUUACUUUGCCAAUCAGCUGGUGGAACUAUAUUCUCCACAAUAUGUACUGUCAUUUCUUCAGAUAGCUUAUCCCUCAGUUUCUGUCUAUCCCAUUCUCAUCCCCUUGUAAAAUCCCUGACUUCUAGUUCUUCUUCUCUUGCACCUUCACCUUCUAUUUAAUAUAAAGCCCCUUGUCUAGUCCAGUUAUCAAACCAAAAGCUGGAAUUUUCUGAUUUUAUUUGCCACCAUAUGUUAUGCUCUAUUUCCUCUUUUACUGCUUGCAUUUUUCUCCAAACGUGUGAAGCACCAUAUCCCUUAGCCGUGAUAGGAUGUAAUUUUUUGCAAUAUUUGUUCCACAUGUAUUCACCCCACAUGGAUGAUGUAGAAGUUCUGAAAUUCCACCAAAGCUUAGCAAAUAAAGCAUUAGACACUACAUUUAGAGAUCUGAGACCAAUUCCUCCCUCCUCCUUCGGAUAACACAUAUUUUUCCAUGAUACCCAAUGUUUGUUUCUAGAUCCUGUAGCAUUUUCCCAAAAGAAUUUAGCAAAAAUUCUAUGAAGUUGCUCAAUCACACCAGUUGGAGGGUUCAUAGCUGAGAGUAGAUACACUGGCAUGGAUUGCAGUACAUGUGUGAUCAAUAUAUAUCUGCCCCCAAAUGAUAACAACUUAUUUUGCCAUAUAUUAAGCCGUUUCAUCACCUUCUUGAUCAAUUCUUCAAAAUGGCUUUUAUUCUUCCUACCAUAAAAUACAGGGCAACCUAGGUAUAUAAAUGGAAAAUUGCCUUGUUUGAUGCUGGUUAUCCUCUUAAUUCAAUUGCACACUCUCACUGAUGUCUUUUCAUGAAGAUAAAAUAAGCUCUUGUCUAGAUUGAUCAUCUGUCCGGACUCCAUUUCAUAAUCUCGCAGUACCUUCAUCAUUUUCUUCAUUGAUCCUCCAUGUCCCGAACAAAAUAGUAUGGUAUCAUCAGCAUAUGAAAGAUGGUUUAUUCUUGGGCUCCACUUAGGCAUGCCAUAGCCUAUGAAAUCCUGUUCUUCAUAUAAAUUAUUUAGAUUCCUUGUCAAAACUUCUGCAGCAAUUAUGAAGAGUGUGGGCGAUAAAGGAUCUCCUUGUUUUAGACCUCUGGAUGAUUGGAAAAAACCAUAUGACUGCCCAUUCAUCAAAACUGAAUACCAGUUGCUACUUAUUAAUCGCACAAUCAUAUCAAUAAUCCGUUAUGAGAAACCAAAGCUUCUUAGCACCCUUACAAGGAACUUCCACGACACUCUAUCGUAUGUCUUUGCCAUAUCAAGCUUGACCACUACAUUAUGCAACUUAUUUCUCAUGCUAAUAUCUCUGAUUAUCUCUUGUGCAAGCAAUACAUUCUCAUUGAUGCUCCUUCCCUUCACAAAGCCUGACUGAUUAAGAGAGAUAAUUUUGGGCAACACUUUCACCAUUCUUUCAUGCAUCAGUCAUGAUAUAAUCUUGUUUGUGAAUUUACUUAAGCUAAUAGGCCUCAGGUCUCCAAAUGUCUUUACCUCCUCCUUCUUUGGAAUAAGCACCAGGUUGGUAUGAGUAACAUACGUUGGUAACUCUUGUCCACAAAAGAAAGCCUUCACCAUGUUUGUAAUAUCAUUACCAAUUAUUUCCUAACAAGAUUGGAAGAAUUGACUCGAGAAACCAUCAUGUCCACUUGCACUAUCUCUAUUUAAUGAGAAGACCACCUGUUUCACUUCCUCUUUGGAUGGCAUUUGUACCAUCCCCUCAUUCUCCCCUUUCGUGAUUAAUUUAGGUAUACACUGGAUCAAUUCCAAUGUGCUCUCUUCAGAGGUCUCCCUGAACUGUUCCUUAAACACUUUGACUGCUUCUUCUCCUAUAUGCUGCGGAUUAUUUAUUACAUCUCCCCGUGCUGUCUGAAUUUCCUUGACCUGAAGCUUUCUCCUUCUUCCUUUCACAUAAGCAUGAAAGAAUUUUGUGUUGUUAUCUCCAUCUGUGAACCAUUUCAUACCUGAUUUCUGCUUCCAGUAUUCUUCUUCAAUAUGAAGGUAGCUCUUCAAGUCUGCCUCCACCUUGUUGAGUGAGCUCCUGUCAGCAAUAGGCGAGAUUUCGAAUUAUACUUCCUUUGCCUUCACCACAUCUUCUAAUAUGGCAAUUUUCUAGAAAAUAUUCCCAAAGGUCUUCUUGCUCCAUUUUGACAAUGCAGUUUUGGUCCUCUUCAACUUGGCAUGGACUAUAUAGAAUGGAGAUCCUGUUAUUUCUUCAAACCAACUUUCCUCGACUAUCUUCAUGAAUUCAUGAUGUUUAGUCCAAAAGUUCAGGAAUCGAAAUGGUUUUACCACCUGUUCCUGAGAAUCAUUACCAAGCACAUGUAAUGGAGCAUGGUCAGAACCCUGUCUAAUUAAAUGAUGCACCUCACUAUUAGGUAGUAAUUGCAUGAAUUCAUUGUUUCCCAAGACUUUAUCCAGUCGCUUAAAGAUACAAUCAUUUUCAAUUUGUCCAUUCCACCAAGUGUAGCAACUACCUACGAAUUUCAACUCAUUUAAUGCGCAAGCACUAAUACAAGCAGCAAAGUCAGUUGUUUCCUACAGCGUUACUGGCAAACCACCUAGCUUCUCUGACUCAUCUACAAUUGUAUUGAAAUCACCGCCUACCAACCAAGGACUACUAGAUUGAGCAGCAAUAUGCUCUAAAUCAUCCCAUAAUUCUAGUCUGUCUAGGGCACUACAUCGUGCAUAUACAGCCGUUACCCUAAAACACGCAUCCCUACCUCUGAGUUGGAAUUGCACUGUUAAUUGUUGCAUAGUGUCUGCUGAACCUUUCUCCACCCAAUUAUCUUCCCAGAAGACCCAAUUUUUUUAUGAACUAUUCACCCUAGCAUUAGGAAGACCUAACUUCCUCCUAUAAGCUUCCAAUUCACUCGGGCUUUGAAAAGGUUCUAAUAAAGCAAUGUAUGAGUAAUGAUGUCUUUUAUGCAGAUCAACUAGUCGCUCAAAAGAUUUUUGAGUCCUAACAGACCUGAUAUUCCAAAAUAUGGCCUUAUUAAUCAUUAAUCAGAUGUAAAAAACGACCCCUUCUUAUUCCUUGUAUUUAUUUGUGAUUAAGGUAGAACCUGCCUUAUACUUUUCUGCAUUUUGCUUUUAAGAUUAUCAAUUUGUCGUGGUGACAGAUCUCCAUUUUUACUCACAUAAUCUACAUUAGCAUCAAUACUUUCAUCCUCCUCUGAAUUUUGCUUAUCACUGAGUUCCUGCGCUGUAGAUGUUUUUAUUUUGGGUACCUCUUUAUCUUCUUUUUCAUUAAUCAGUUCCACAAUCAGUCCCACUUCAUCUCUUGAAAGUGUAAGCACUGCUUCAGUGUCAACCUCCUCACUCUCAUGCAGUUGGUCAAGUUCUUUUUCUGGAGUAUCUUCUGAUUGCUCAGAUUCUUUUGCUAGAUCACCAUUGUUAUUCAUUGAACUCUGGGCGUUAUGUUGUUUGCUUUUAUUAUUGGAUCCUCUGGAUUGUUCUCCUAUACUUUCUACCUGUUCAUGCUCCACUUGAUGGUGUUCCUGUCCUUUCUCUUAAUCACUCCCCUCUAACCCUUGAUCUGCAUUUUCCUUCGUUGUCUUAUCUUCUAGUGCCUCAAAUUUGUUACAUGUUAUUGUCACAUGUUCUUGUAUUUGUGGCUUAGGAUUCCAUCGUUGCUCCACCCUACUCUUGUAUGGUUGUCGUCCCCCAUUGUGAUAAUUUUUCCUUCUCUGCUCCUGGAAACUUACCUCUUCCACUUCUUUUGUUUUUUCGCAAUCCUCCUUAGUUGUUCCUUCAACCCCUCUCAUUUGUGAUUUAUUUGUUAUGUCCCUAUUUGCACCCUCAUUCUUCGUAUUGUCUGACGUCCUUUCUUCUUUGUUCUCCUCUUUUGGGUAAAGUUCUGGAUGGAUGAUAAAACAUUCAUUUAUCAUUAUGCCCUUGAAGCUUACAAGACUUGCAAUACUUAGGCACAUAGUCAUAAUUGAUGUGUAUCCACCUCUCCUUCACUUCUCCCGUUUUCAUCCUCAUACCAAGAUUGAUUCUUUUUGGAAAUUCCCCGAGUAGAUUAACUUCUACUUUUACCCUUGCACAACUCAGUCUAGUUUUAUUCUGGGUAGCCAAGUCCACUUGCAAUGGUUUGCCAACUGCCGAUGCUAAAGAGAACACCGCUUCUUUUCCAAAAAAAAUUGGUGGCAAUGCUGGAAAGGAUAUCGAGGCUAUUGCCGUUGAUGUCUCCUCCUUUGGAUCAAAACAAGGAUCCCACUUAAGUGUCCGCAUUGGAUAGGACCAAUGAUUAUGCGUAAUAUAAAAUUGCGGCUUGGAUAAGAGAUUCACAUAAUCAUCCAAUCUUGUUGCCCUAAUCAGAAUAUAUCUAUUGCUUAGCAGCCCAAUGUUUACCUCCCCUUUUAGCUCGCAUUGUUUCGGAAUUAGUCGUCUUAGAUCUUGAAUAUCAGGCCACCCGUACGAAAAUUUUGCUACUACAGCAUACUGCAGAUCUUCAUUGAUAAUCAUCUGAUUCACCUCUUCUUCUUCCCAUACUAUCUUUGGCUCCCCAUGUAAAUAAGCUAUUUGUUUCAGUGGAAUAGGUUUGUAUUGGGGUUGAAUAGGUUUUAAUGUGUUUGCAUAAGUCUUCUUCAAAGGAUCCUCUGUUAUCAAUUGUGCAGUUGGCACAGCCUCCACCGGAGGAGACUGGCCAACGGCCAGCAAGGCCAUGACUCCGAUGGUUGUUAUGAAUUAGGUUUCUGACGGCAGGGUUUUUUCCGGCCAAUGGUAUGAACUUUGUAGGAUACUCAAUUCUCAAAAAUAGCAUUGUGGUAAAUUUUCUCUUCUCAAUUGUUAAACCGUAUUGUUUUGAAGGUGGCAGGGACAUUAGUCAACUCAAAAGAUAUCACUAGGAACUCCUCAUGACCAUAACAAGUCCUAAAUGCAGUCUUAGGUUUGUCUGUUUCCCUAAUCCUCAGUUGAUGGUAACCGAAUAUCAAAUCAAUCUUAAAAAAC
RNAcentral lists this long non-coding RNA (6499 nucleotides) under Solanum tuberosum (potato). RNAcentral describes it as "long non-coding RNA (STUB_LNC002739)". The record is from RNAcentral. Lineage: Eukaryota; Viridiplantae; Streptophyta; Magnoliopsida; Solanales; Solanaceae.